GUGGUCGCUUAGGCAGCACGUGCGCUAACAUUGGAACAAUACGGAGAACAUUAGCAUGACCCCUGCGCAAGGACGGCGCGCAAAUUUGUGAAACGUUCGCACGGUGU
Phyllostomus discolor (pale spear-nosed bat) is the source of this 107-nucleotide small nuclear RNA. The record is from RefSeq and is a predicted model, not a curated record. Lineage: Eukaryota; Metazoa; Chordata; Mammalia; Chiroptera; Phyllostomidae.